CAACCUGCCGAUGACUCGGGGAUAGCCUUUCGAAAGAAAGAUUAAUACCCGAUGGCAUAGUUCUUCCGCAUGGUAGAACUAUUAAAGGAUUUCGGUCAUCGAUGGGGAUGCGUUCCAUUAGGUUGUUGGCGGGGUAACGGCCCACCAAGCCUUCGAUGGAUAGGGGUUCUGAGAGGAAGGUCCCCCACAUUGGAACUGAGACACGGUCCAAACUCCUACGGGAGGCAGCAGUGAGGAAUAUUGGUCAAUGGACGAGAGUCUGAACCAGCCAAGUAGCGUGAAGGAUGACUGCCCUAUGGGUUGUAAACUUCUUUUAUACGGGAAUAAAGUGAGGCACGUGUGCCUUUUUGUAUGUACCGUAUGAAUAAGGAUCGGCUAACUCCGUGCCAGCAGCCGCGGUAAUACGGAGGAUCCGAGCGUUAUCCGGAUUUAUUGGGUUUAAGGGAGCGUAGAUGGAUGUUUAAGUCAGUUGUGAAAGUUUGCGGCUCAACCGUAAAAUUGCAGUUGAUACUGGAUGUCUUGAGUGCAGUUGAGGCAGGCGGAAUUCGUGGUGUAGCGGUGAAAUGCUUAGAUAUCACGAAGAACUCCGAUUG
RNAcentral lists this ribosomal RNA (593 nucleotides) under uncultured Bacteroidota bacterium. RNAcentral describes it as "bacterial SSU rRNA". It matches the Rfam family "Bacterial small subunit ribosomal RNA", at positions 122 to 715 of the family's 1533-position model. Lineage: Bacteria; Pseudomonadati; Bacteroidota. The record is from RNAcentral.